GAAAUGCGAUAAGUAGUGUGAAUUGCAGAAUUCAGUGAAUCAUCGAAUCUUUGAACGCACAUUGCGCCCCUUGGUAUUCCAUGGGGCAUGCCUGUUCGAGCGUCAUCUACACCCUCAAGCUCUGCUUGGUGUUGGGCGUCUGUCCUGCCCCCGCGCGUGGACUCGCCCCAAAUCCAUUGGCAGCGUUCCUUGCCCCCUCUCGCGCAGCACAUUGCGCUUCUCGAGGGCGGCUCCGGGACGCGAUCCAGCAAGAUGACCACCGUCUUUGACCUCGGAUCAGGUAGGGAUACCCGCUGAACUUAAGC
Molecule: unclassified non-coding RNA, 305 nt
Filed under: plant metagenome
Description: partial contains 5.8S ribosomal RNA, internal transcribed spacer 2, and large subunit ribosomal RNA
Rfam family: 5.8S ribosomal RNA (bases 1-105)
Source: RNAcentral